GAAGGACUGUAGCUCAGUGGCAGAGCAUCUGCUUUGUAUGCAGAAGAUCUGAGGUUCAAUUCCUGGCAUCUUCA
Non-coding RNA from Podarcis lilfordi (Lilford's wall lizard), 74 nucleotides. The record is from the annotation of a GenBank genome assembly. Lineage: Eukaryota; Metazoa; Chordata; Lepidosauria; Squamata; Lacertidae.